AGAGAGAGCGAGAGGAGGAGGAUGAGAGGAAGAGGAGGAGAGCACUGAAGACGUCUGCUUACAAGUAAAGAUUUAUGUGACCCAUGGUCUUCACAAAUGGUUGGAUACAGACAUUGAUAAUUUGCUGUCGGGGGACACCGACUCGACUCCCUCACGCAACCAGCCGACCCUCAUCCCGAACACGAAACAACGAGCCUCUGGACCAGACUCGCGAGGGCGCCCCCCACUGAUUGUAGUAGGCGGAACAGAAAUUCCCCAUUUCUUUGGACUGAACUGCUUUAGUAUGGUAAUGUUGACUGGGGGUUUUCUAACAGCCUUGCUGUGUUUUGUUAAGAGUAACUUCUCCUGUUUAGCUAACGGGCUAAUUUCUUGGUUAAAUCUGGGAUUGUAAAUUCUGUUUAGACUGAUUAGCUGCUGCAGUUACUUUUUUUUCCUUGGGCUCCGUGACAAAUGGCACGACUAAUUGUUUCGGACCCUUACUUCCCGUCGUUUUUGUGCAAAUCCGCCCUAGUUUUUCCCUCGGCCUUGUGUGAAUACAUUCUCUUGUCAGCUGACCUCAAUGUAAGUUUUCUAUUUAGUAUGGUAACACAGGAAACAACCAAUAAUUUUAGUCCAUUGUUGUAAAAGCCAAACCUGUAAUAAAGAAC
Molecule: long non-coding RNA, 647 nt
Filed under: Salmo salar (Atlantic salmon)
Lineage: Eukaryota; Metazoa; Chordata; Actinopteri; Salmoniformes; Salmonidae
Description: lncRNA (ENSSSAG00000118334.1)
Source: RNAcentral